CCUGGCUUAGAACGAACGCUGGCGGCGUGCUUAACACAUGCAAGUCGAACGCGAAAGGGACUUCGGGUCCUGAGUAAAGUGGCGCACGGGUGAGUAACGCGUAGAUAACCUGUCUUCAUGUCUGGAAUAAUACGCCGAAAGGGGUACUAAUACCGGAUAUUCUUGCUUUUCAUAAGUUAUGCAAGCAAAGGUGGCCUCUGCAUAUGCUACUGCAUGAAGAGGGGUCUGCGUACCAUAGCUAGUAGGUGGGGUAAUGGCCUACCUAGGCGACGAUGGUUAGCGGGUCUGAGAGGAUGAUCCGCCACACUGGCACUGGAACACGGGCCAGACUCCUACGGGAGGCAGCAGUGAGGAAUAUUGCGCAAUGGGGGAAACCCUGACGCAGCGACGCCGCGUGAGUGAAGGAAGGCCUUCGGGUCGUAAAGCUCUGUCAAGAGGAAAGAAGUGUACAAUGGCUAAUACCCGUUGUAUUUGACGGUACCUCUAAAGGAAGCACCGGCUAACUCCGUGCCAGCAGCUGC
Molecule: ribosomal RNA, 521 nt
Filed under: uncultured bacterium
Lineage: Bacteria
Description: bacterial SSU rRNA
Rfam family: Bacterial small subunit ribosomal RNA
Source: RNAcentral